Long non-coding RNA from Mastomys coucha (southern multimammate mouse), 507 nucleotides. RefSeq lists it as uncharacterized. The transcript is spliced from 2 exons. The record is from RefSeq and is a predicted model, not a curated record. NCBI's taxonomy places the organism in Eukaryota, Metazoa, Chordata, Mammalia, Rodentia, Muridae.
AGGAGAACCGGGUUAGGUCGUGUUUUUGGAAUGGGGACAGCAGAGGGGUAAGAUGUAACUGCUAGAGUUUCCCAGUAUCAUGGAAGCUCCACAAGGAUUUGCCACCAGAGGAAUCAGAUUUUAAUAAGGCUUGCAAGACUAGGUUUUAGUUGUUGUACCCAGAGACUGAGUUACCACUGUUUCUGAACUAAGUUUGUAUUGCAUUUUCCUUCACACGGCAGCUCAAUAGAGAAAGCCAGCCCGGAGACACCCGGCAACAAUGAGACCAACAGACACCUUCAUGGUCAUCCCUGAGGGAACUCGGUGACAAGACACAUCAUCGCUAGCUGUCCAGAGGGAACACAUCCCAUUGUCAACUCUGUUGCAUGUCCUCCUGCACAUGGACCACAAUCCCACAAAAGUCGGGCUUUCCCUCCCCACCCCCUUGCCUUCUUCCCCUUCUCCACCCAGGGACAACUUCUGUUUCUCAUUACCCCCUCCCUUUAAUAAACCUCCUACGUGACACGG